Molecule: long non-coding RNA, 2159 nt
Organism: Manis pentadactyla (Chinese pangolin)
Lineage: Eukaryota; Metazoa; Chordata; Mammalia; Pholidota; Manidae
Exons: 3
Source: RefSeq, a predicted model, not a curated record
UCUAUUUAAAAAUGUAAAUCCAAUCAUUUCAGUCUCCUUAUUAGUGCUUUCCAAAAACUUCCUGUCAUAUUCGGGGCAAAGGCGAAGGUAUUUUCAAUGACCUGCAAGACCGUACAUGGACAAGCCCUGGCCUAGUGUCCUACUACUUGCCCCGGCCCACUUGGCUUCAGCUCACAAUGGAUUUCUUAUUGCCUUACACAGGUCAAGGUUUGGUUGUAUGUAGAUCUUCACAGUGCUGUUCUCAUGGCCUGGGUUACCCUUUUCCAAAGCCUUUUCAUGUCUAUCUCCUUCACAUCAUUCUGUUUGCUUCUCAUAUAUUCACUUAUUGAAAGGUUUUUCCUCUAUAACUUUGUUUCCUUCUACCCUGCUGAAAUUAUAUGAUUCUUAAAAAAUAUUAUAUAUUGCCACUGGCCAUUUUAUGAUUUAUUUAUUAAAUAAGAGUGACACUGAAUUUAUCUUUUUCAUAUCUUAUAUUGGCAGCACCUGGGACAAAAUUAACACUUAAUGAGAGUUUGUUGAAUGAACAAAUGAAUCUGUUAACACUGUUGUUUUGUAAUUUUUAAUGCAUGAAAUUGGGGAAAUUAGCUUCCAUGUCAUGAGAACAAGCAGCCCUGUGGAGAGGUCCAUGUGGUGAGGAGCUGAGUCCUCCUGCCAAUAGCCGUGUGAAUGAGCCGUCUUGGAAAUGGAUCUCUCAGCCCCAGUGGAGCCUUGAGAUGACUACAGCCAUGGUCUAGGCCUUGACUGCAACUGCCUAAGAGACGCUGAGCCAGAACCAUUCAGGUAUGCCACUUCCAUCCUGACUCUCAGAAAAUGGGUGAGGUAAUAAAUGUUUAUUUUUCUGAGUUGUUAACAUUUGGGAUAAUUUGUUAUGCACUAAUAGUAAAUGAAUACACUCUUUCAUGGCAUUUUUCCUGAACUAUAUGUUGUACAAUGUAAAUAAAAAACUUUCCUAAUUGUCUUGCCAAUUGGUUUCAGCCCUGGAAAAGUUAGCUAUGGAUUCAAUGUGACCAAAGAAAUUGACAACAAAACGUUCUUUGGGGUGAAAGGGUUUAUUACCCGGCUUGUUCUCCUGGUAGUAGGUCAAGCACUAGCGUCUCUGCCUCCGCCCACAGCACUGGGCUGAGCUCUCUAUAUAGCACAACAGUAGCUUAUUGUCUAAAGGUGUGAAAGCGGUAGCCUAGCAACAGGCCAGUUACAUCAUCAGGGGGUUUAAGGUCAGUGAGGAUCCUGGCCAUAGGAACCCCAACUUCCCCACACUAAUGUUUUUGAGAAUGUUACUUUUUUUUUAAGCAACAGGGAGAAUAGGAAUGGUCCAGCAUGGCUUAUGCUUACUACUUAGAGAAGGGAAAAGGGAGAAAUCACAUACCUUGAAAAUUCCUUUUUAGAGACAAACUAUUCACAGGAAAGUGACUAAUGGGGAAUGAAAGAGUGAGGGGAAAAAAUGGCUUUUAUCCCCAGUCUUUCCUAUUAAUUGACAUCAUUUAUGUUUACAGUUCACAAUCAGAUCAUAUAAUUAGGGAAGGAUUAAGCUCUUAUCUCUUGGAGUGGAUGGUUAAUUUAGGUGUUUGGAAACUGCUUGAAGAAAGCCAUGGAACAGCUCUGAGGGACGGAGUCUAGAUACCAUGUAAAAAGUGAAUAAAUGUACCAAGAGCAGAAUGAUAACUCCACCUCAGUACCAGAUUGUCUAGAAAUUAAAUUGUGGCAGAAAAUAUUUGUUAUUUCUGAGUUUGUGUGAGCCUAUAAUGCUGCCUUUCAUAGCUGAAGUGUGUGAAUGUUUUACCAUUCUUUGUCAGGACAUCGUAAUUUAUUCAAAUAAAAUGAUUCGAGUUAACAUGACUGAAUUAUUUAGGUUGUUUCUUGCUUAGAUGUUCUCAUCCUCUUUGUAUUUGUUAUUGAUCAUCUAUGUGUGUACCAUCCACCAGGUUCCUAACCAUUUCCCUCUUGGCAUGUAGAGUGCUUGAAAUUUUUACUCGGAAAGAAGUAACAGCGAUAGGCUACCAGCCCCGAAACACACUCAGUUGUCCUCAGCAUCACUGAAUGGAACAUGAGAACACUGUACCUCAUCCUCCAUUAGAUGAAUGGAUAAAGAAGAUGUGGUACAUAUACACAAUGGAAUAUUACUCAGCCAUAAGAAAAAAACAGAUCCUACCAUUUGCAAC